GCUUCCACGUUCGGUUUAUGUUGCUGCAAUAUUUGUAAAAACCUCUAAUACCUGUUCAUUUACAAUUGGUAACCGGCAGGUGCAAGAAGUUUAUUCCUGCGAAAAUGCGUGUAAGUGUGGCAGAUUUUAACGAAGAUUACUUGAUAAGAUUACCGCCUGUUGACAGUUUAACGUGGGUCUGCUCUAAUCCCAUGUCGGAAUUCGGAUUGGUAUCUAAUGGAAUGCGAUGGCCAGACCUUAGUAAGCGUGUCUCACACUGAUGUCCAACGAUUAAAGAAUCAUGUUCAGAUGCAUGUGCACAUUUUCGCUAUUAAGACUAUUCGUACUUAGCGAAGCACGAUGUACAGAAUGGCUACCUACUCACGAUAUCCCGAAAUGUUCUAUGUUCCAGCCAUGUACGAAUCAGGUCACCACACGACAGAAAGACCGUGACUGUAGACUCACUUAAAGCAUGUAAAAUUAUGAGGAAUCUAGAUAAAGUGGAUAGUAAGAACUUUAGGCCAAUGAUUGAGGCAUAGAUUGAAAGUGAAUGAUAAUAAGCGUUGGAGGAAAGUUGAGAGUAUUUUUUCUCUUUCAGAAGGUGUGGUCUGGAACUCGUCACCUGAAAGUAAAAUAGAAACUUUCCACACAUUUAAAACACGCCAUGCAUUUGAAGUGCUGUAACCAAAGGACUAUUCCUAGAGAACCGAAAGUUGAACUUAGGUUGGAAAUGUCUUUCUGUCCGCCAGCUAGACACGAUGAACUGAUAAGCCACCUGCUUAGGGAUAUCCCGAAAUGUUCUAUGUUCGAGUGAUUAGAGACCAACAAUAGAAACAUUGAAAACAAAAGCAUUAAGUGUCCUGAAAGACCACUGACUCUCGAGGUAUUUCAGUCUUCUUUAACGGCCUUAUUCUAACAUACAAGAAUUCGAAAGGAUUAAAAAAAUAGAAUCUUUCGAAAAUAGGAGACAUGACUGAGUGGAGAGCUGACAGUGCUCUUUACAAUCAUCAAGCGCUAUGACCCAAACAGAAUGUUUGCUUCUGUGGAUAAGAACUUCACUGGAGGCCAUCGCACAAAGUUGUUAGCAAGAAAUCCAAUGGAGAAUUCAGGCCAAACGUCUUUGACCGAGCUGAGAGUAAGGAGCUCCCCACAGUUGGGUAUGAUUGACAGAAGAAGAUUGAUACAUUCCAGGGGAAGCAUGGAACAAAGGUUAGCACUGCUGCCUCACAGCGCCUGGGACGUGGGCCCAAGUUCAGCCUCUUGUGUGACGAGAUGGAGUUUGUACCCGUGUCUGUGUGAGUUUCUUUCCCAGAAUCCAAAGGUGUGAAGGUUAGGUGGAUUGGCCAUGCUAACAUGCCCUAUGGUGUCCAGGGAUGUGCGAGCUGGGUGGAUUAGCCAAGAAAAAUGCGGAGUUCAGUGACAGGAUAAGUUGGGAUGCUCUUCGGAGGGUUGGUGCAAAUUUGAUUGGUUGAAUGGCCUUUUCCUACUCCGUAGGGAUUCUCUGAAACUAGCUGAGCACACGGGAGCCAGGGAAAUAGAGGUUAUGAUAAUAGACAGUGGGGCGUGGAUUGGUUGGGUGAAUGGCCUGUUCCUGUGCUAUAAAUCCUAAGAACAAGUGGUACGAAAUGGUGCUUGGAAAAGUUGACACUUUUCGGUAUAAACUGACCCCAAAUUAUUUUGUUUCAAUUAAUUGACACAUUUAUUGUCCCUUCACUAGUUUGGCUCUAACCUAUGGAUUAGGUAUGGUUCUCCUAGCUGGCUAGCUACGUCUUCGAGAUGAUAACUUAUUAUGUUCUGUUCCACAGUCGCGUCUCGGUGACGUCAAGGUUCCUGUGAAUAGUUUGGGAUCGGGAUCCUGGAUAAAGCACUUUGUAAUAUAUAGAAAUGGUAACUCAGAUCAGCGUUUUACGAAGAAAAAGGCGAACCAUUUGUAUCUAAAUUCAUAUUAUUUCAUAAUCCUGUUUGGUGAAAUAUUUUGGGUUCGUACAUUUCAGAGAGCCCUAUCUAUGUCAAAAUAAACUUUGGUUUCUAUGUUGAAA
Long non-coding RNA from Stegostoma tigrinum, 2018 nucleotides. RefSeq lists it as uncharacterized. NCBI's taxonomy places the organism in Eukaryota, Metazoa, Chordata, Chondrichthyes, Orectolobiformes, Stegostomatidae. The transcript has 2 exons. The record is from RefSeq and is a predicted model, not a curated record.